ACGGAAGGCAGCAGCUAAGAAUAUUCCGCAAUGGACGAAAGUCUGACGGAGCGACGCCGCGUGGAUGAUGAAGGUCGAAAGAUUGUAAAAUCCUUUUAGGAGUGAAGAAUAAGCGGUGCAGGGAAUGGCAUCACGGUGACGGUAGCUCCUGAAUAAGCAACGGCUAAUUACGUGCCAGCAGCCGCGGUAACACGUAAGUUGCGAGCGUUGUUCGGAAUUAUUGGGCGUAAAGGGUAUGUAGGCGGUCGUGCAAGCUUGGUGUGAAAGGCAGGGGCUCAACCCCUGGACUGCAUUGAGAACUGCAAGACUUGAAUUGCUGAAGGGCAGCCGGAAUUCCAGGUGUAGGGGUGAAAUCUGUAGAUAUCUGGAAGAAUACCAAUGGCGAAGGCAGGUUGCUAGCAGAUGACUGACGCUGAGGUGCGAAGGUGCGGGGAGCAAACAGGAUUAGAUACCCUGGUA
RNAcentral lists this ribosomal RNA (459 nucleotides) under uncultured Treponema sp. Its description in RNAcentral is "partial 16S ribosomal RNA". It matches the Rfam family "Bacterial small subunit ribosomal RNA", at positions 341 to 792 of the family's 1533-position model. The record is from RNAcentral. Lineage: Bacteria; Pseudomonadati; Spirochaetota; Spirochaetia; Treponematales; Treponemataceae.